This is a non-coding RNA of Triticum aestivum (bread wheat), 125 nucleotides long. Lineage: Eukaryota; Viridiplantae; Streptophyta; Magnoliopsida; Poales; Poaceae. The record is from Rfam.
GAUAUACUCCCUCCGUCUAGAAUUACUUGCCGUAAAAAUGGAUAAAAAUGAAUGUAUUUAAAACUAAAAUACAUCUAUAUACAUUCAUUUCUCCGACAGGUAUUUUUGGACGGAGGGAGUACUUU